ACUCAGGCACGCGAUUCAUGUUUGCUGAAUAAAUGAAUGAAGAACGAACAACUGAAGAAGUUCGAUCAUAAAUCAUAAACACGUCUUAAAAAUUAAAUAAAAAAUGGAAAGUUCAAGUAGCACUGCGGUGAAGACUGAAGAGACUCAUGGGAUUAACAGACCACACAUGGCCCAGCAGGACGACAUCAGAUGUUCCUUUCAGCAAUGCCUUACAGCAAUUCACCCAGCCAUCCUUGAGCUAUCUUCUGCCCAGAGCAUCAUAAAUCUACCAGCCUUUGGCACACAGAAGAUUCAGUGAUAUCAAAGAUCAGAUUCUCCUUGAUAAAGAAUGUUUUCCUCCAUGUUGACUUUGCAAACACCUGACUUGAAUGGUAUUCCAGGUAUGGCCUUAUAGUCUCAGUCUCUAGUUCAUGUGGUCUGGGUCAUGCCUGUCUCUCUCAUUCUGGAACAUCAGCUCUUUCCAGGACUUGUUCCCAGUGCAUGCUUCUAACGCCCCCAAGAACUGCUCUGAAAGAUUUUAGAAGCUCCAAAGCUAGUAGCCAAUGCUCUGGAAAAACUUGAACUAUAGAAAUUUCACACUGGCACUGAGCUGCUUCAAAAUCCGCAAUGAAAAAUGAAACUAUCCAAAACAAAUGUAGCAACUCUAAAGCUAAGCCCACAUGAAAGAGGAGAACAGUGUCUGUAGGCCUACUUCCAAAUAUUUGGGCCAGCAAAGGCUCUUCUGACAAGCAGAGAUGAUUUGAGGCACAAAACAAGCCAUAUUUUAAGUCCACAAAUGUUUCCAGACUUUCUGCCCAGCAUGGACACAGGCAAAUAACAUUCAGCCUUUUUCCUGAAGAAUAUAGUCUAGUGAAAAACCAGACAAGCACUAUGGCCCUACUUGACAU
This is a long non-coding RNA of Canis lupus familiaris (dog), 887 nucleotides long. RefSeq lists it as uncharacterized. Lineage: Eukaryota; Metazoa; Chordata; Mammalia; Carnivora; Canidae. The record is from RefSeq and is a predicted model, not a curated record. The transcript is spliced from 3 exons.